GCCAAAAUAGCUCAGCUGGGAGAGCGUUGGACUGAAGAUCAAACAGUCCCUGGUUCAAUCCUGGGUUUCGGCA
Molecule: non-coding RNA, 73 nt
Organism: Leucoraja erinaceus (little skate)
Lineage: Eukaryota; Metazoa; Chordata; Chondrichthyes; Rajiformes; Rajidae
Source: the annotation of a RefSeq genome assembly